Long non-coding RNA from Melospiza melodia melodia, 138 nucleotides. RefSeq lists it as uncharacterized. The transcript has 3 exons. Lineage: Eukaryota; Metazoa; Chordata; Aves; Passeriformes; Passerellidae. The record is from RefSeq and is a predicted model, not a curated record.
CGGAGCAGCUCCCUGCGCUCGGUGGUCUCGGAGCCGCGGGGAGGCCGGAGCCCCCGGGACCCCCGGGACCGCAGCCCCGACUUUGAGCGACCCCGACGGAGCUCCCGGCUGCAGAGCCAGAAGGAGAACGGCCCCUCC